This 782-nucleotide ribosomal RNA is filed under the name Vreelandella janggokensis. RNAcentral's name for it is "bacterial SSU rRNA". It matches the Rfam family "Bacterial small subunit ribosomal RNA", at positions 401 to 1178 of the family's 1533-position model. Lineage: Bacteria; Pseudomonadati; Pseudomonadota; Gammaproteobacteria; Oceanospirillales; Halomonadaceae. The record is from RNAcentral.
GUGUGAAGAAGGCCCUCGGGUUGUAAAGCACUUUCAGCGAGGAAGAACGCCUGUCGGUUAAUACCCGGCAGGAAAGACAUCACUCGCAGAAGAAGCACCGGCUAACUCCGUGCCAGCAGCCGCGGUAAUACGGAGGGUGCAAGCGUUAAUCGGAAUUACUGGGCGUAAAGCGCGCGUAGGUGGCUUGAUAAGCCGGUUGUGAAAGCCCCGGGCUCAACCUGGGAACGGCAUCCGGAACUAUUAGGCUAGAGUGCAGGAGAGGAAGGUAGAAUUCCCGGUGUAGCGGUGAAAUGCGUAGAGAUCGGGAGGAAUACCAGUGGCGAAGGCGGCCUUCUGGACUGACACUGACACUGAGGUGCGAAAGCGUGGGUAGCAAACAGGAUUAGAUACCCUGGUAGUCCACGCCGUAAACGAUGUCGACCAGCCGUUGGGUGCCUAGCGCACUUUGUGGCGAAGUUAACGCGAUAAGUCGACCGCCUGGGGAGUACGGCCGCAAGGUUAAAACUCAAAUGAAUUGACGGGGGCCCGCACAAGCGGUGGAGCAUGUGGUUUAAUUCGAUGCAACGCGAAGAACCUUACCUACCCUUGACAUCCUGCGAACUUGUGAGAGAUCACUUGGUGCCUUCGGGAGCGCAGAGACAGGUGCUGCAUGGCUGUCGUCAGCUCGUGUUGUGAAAUGUUGGGUUAAGUCCCGUAACGAGCGCAACCCUUGUCCCUAUUUGCCAGCGAUUCGGUCGGGAACUCUAGGGAGACUGCCGGUGACAAACCGGAGGAAGGUGGGG